This 2170-nucleotide unclassified non-coding RNA is filed under the name Leishmania donovani. RNAcentral describes it as "gene:unknown". Lineage: Eukaryota; Euglenozoa; Kinetoplastea; Trypanosomatida; Trypanosomatidae. The record is from RNAcentral.
CUUCAUCAGCAAGUUUGUCUCCCGAAAUUGUUUUCUUUGGCCUUUUCCCGCGUGUCGCUGCUACUGCCUGCCUCUUUCGCCAUCGCCGCCGCUUCCAUGCACCGCGCGCACACAGGCACGGAAGAGAGAAGGGAGGAGGUGACUGCACUCAGUGGGUGAGAGGAGGUCUGCGUCACAGGUGCGGUCACCGAGACUGGUUCAGACUACGUCGUUGCGAUAUUCGUUAUUGAUCCUCCCCCUCUGCACUUGUUUCUCCCCAUCACUCUCCUCCCGUGGCGUCUUGCUGUGCACUCUCCCUUUACCGCUGCGAAGUGACGCUACUGCUGUUGCACUGCCUCUGUAGAGGCCCCCCUUCCCUCCCCCCUUGUGUGCGCUGGCAUCCGCCGCAGAGCCGCUGACACCCCAGUGACGGUGCGCGCACACAAUCGGCUAGUUCCUCGCAGCCUCACCAGGGCGCCGUGCAAAGCCGAUGACGUGGAUGACCGAUACGAAAGCGUUGCUUGCGGAUUAGAACCACUGUCGGCAGAGGAGCAACGGGUGCUGCACGAACUGCUCGCCGCCGUCGGCCGCUCCGCAGUCGGCCGCUCCGCCAUGGGCCAGUGCAGCACCCCAGAGCUGCCUCUAUCGGGCAUGGAGUACUCAGACAACAAGGACGGCGUGACAGUCCAUUCACGAGGUUCGCACUCCGCCGUGGGAGGCGAGGAAAGCUUGGAGGGAGGAGGAGCUCGGGUGCGACAUAGCGGCAUCGGUGGCGCGAGGACGCGUCGGUCCGUCGUGGAGGGGAACACGUUUCGCCUUUCAAGCUCCGCAUUAGCCCGCGGGUUGGAAUGCUGCCUCGUCUCGCUUCUGUGCCCAAAUGCGCUCACCUACCUGCACGGCGGCCGUAGUACUCCUUCGCCGCGCGUUUCUGCGCACGGCUAGUGAUGACGGAGGCACCUCUUGUCCCCACACCCAAGGCGCAUACACACGCAGGCAGUAGGAUCAAUGAUCUCUCCUUGUAUCGACUCGGUUGUACGACAAAUUCAGUUUAUCGCUGCCCUUUCGGGUGACGUGCUUCUUCUCUGCCUCCCCUUCGUCCCGCGCUCUUCUCUCUCCGUGUUUCCUCCGUUCCUUCUCUCCCAUGUCACAGAAGAUCGCCAACGCCAACAAAACCGCCGUCACUACUCGCGCUGUCCAUUUCCGUGCAGUCGCUCAUUGUUAUCGCUUCUCUCCCGUUCUAUUCCGCUUCCCUCUCCCGUGCUCUUUUCACCGUCUUUGGCUCUUUAGGGUUUGACCCCGUGCCCCCUCCCUCUCUCUCAGCAUUCUGUGCUUCGCGGGUGGCCCCUCACGAAAGCCCCCUCCCCUCUUCCCUCCCGCGGCAUCUCUCUCUCUCUAUGCUUCCGUGCUGUUAGCCCGUCAGCACAACUCUGCGCAAACUUUUUGUCCCUGCCCUUGUGCGGUGCGUUUUUGUUGUUCCCGCGUGCGCGUGUUCGAUUCGCUCUCCCUCUCGGUCUUCAGUCCGGCGGCUCACACGACGGCGUGUAGAUAGGCAGGAUAUCCGAUGCGCAGUCGAAGUGGGAGGGGGUGUACUGGAAGGAAACCGGUUCCGUGAGGGGCUUGGCUGAGGAAGUGGAGAAGCGAGAGGAUCAGCCGUGUGCACUCUCUCCACCCCAUCUCCGCCAUCUUUCCGUCUACUUCAAAGUGCUUUUGGGCGAUGCACCAUGGAGCGCGGAAUCGAAUCGUUUUCCUGGCGUUCGUUUGCGCAUGUGCCCGUGUCUUGUCUUUACGCCCCUCUUCUGUGUUUCAAUGCGAGGAGGCGGCGUACUGCAGAUCCUUCUCUCUUCUGCGUGUCUCCUACACUUGUUCUUACUGCCCAUCGCUCUCUCGCCCCACCGUUGAGUGCGUGCGACCGUCUACGUGUGCGUCCUUUCUCUCCUAUUCUGUCGGUCUCUUCGUCUGUGUGUCUACGUCGCACCUUGAAGAAAAAAGCGAAGCACAGAAACGCACUGACUGCAUUCUAAGCCACGCCUCGCAGGCGAUGUGUGCGCGUGAAGGCGUGCACCACCGAGCAACACCAGCUACAAGUCGCCGCAGCCCGUCUCUUUCUCCUUACCCUUACUUCUGUACGUGUUCAACUCCCUCUGCUUCAAUCUUUCCACAUACGUGCCUCUCCCUCCUCCCACCUACAAAG